CAGCCGCCACGGUAAUACAGAGGGUGCGAGCGUUAAUCGGAUUUACUGGGCGUAAAGCGUGCGUAGGCGGCUUCUUAAGUCGGAUGUGAAAUCCCUGAGCUUAACUUAGGAAUUGCAUUCGAUACUGGGAAGCUAGAGUAUGGGAGAGGAUGGUAGAAUUCCAGGUGUAGCGGUGAAAUGCGUAGAGAUCUGGAGGAAUACCGAUGGCGAAGGCAGCCAUCUGGCCUAAUACUGAAGCUGAGGUACGAAAGCAUGGGGAGCAAACAGGAUUAGAUACCCGCGUAGUCCCUGUCUCUUAUAC
RNAcentral lists this ribosomal RNA (301 nucleotides) under uncultured bacterium. Its description in RNAcentral is "partial 16S ribosomal RNA". It matches the Rfam family "Bacterial small subunit ribosomal RNA", at positions 509 to 807 of the family's 1533-position model. The record is from RNAcentral.